CGGAGGCGCUCAAAGGUUCUCUCAGUACGGUCGGAAAUCGUACGUAGAGUGUAAAGGCAAAAGAGAGCUUGAUUGCAAGACAUACAGGUCGAGCAAGGAUGAAAAUCGGACUUAGUGAUCCGGUGGUUCUGCGUGGAAGGGCCAUCGCUCAACGGAUAAAAGCUACCCUGGGGAUAACAGGCUUAUCUCCCCCAAGAGUCCACAUCGACGGGGAGGUUUGGCACCGCGAUGUCGGCUCAUCACAUCCUGGGGCUGUAGUAGGUCCCAAGGGUUGGGCUGUUCGCCCAUUAAAGUGGUACGCGAGCUGGGUUCAGAACGUCGUGAGACAGUUCGGUCCCUAUCCGUCGCAGGCG
This 353-nucleotide ribosomal RNA is filed under the name Clostridioides difficile. RNAcentral's name for it is "bacterial LSU rRNA". It matches the Rfam family "Bacterial large subunit ribosomal RNA", at positions 2301 to 2653 of the family's 2925-position model. Lineage: Bacteria; Bacillati; Bacillota; Clostridia; Peptostreptococcales; Peptostreptococcaceae. The record is from RNAcentral.